Molecule: long non-coding RNA, 941 nt
Organism: Cucurbita maxima (winter squash)
Lineage: Eukaryota; Viridiplantae; Streptophyta; Magnoliopsida; Cucurbitales; Cucurbitaceae
Exons: 2
Source: RefSeq, a predicted model, not a curated record
CCACGCUGGUUCUAUAUGAUAUCAGCUGAUAAAUGGGUGAAAGCAUUCUAGGCAUCAUAUGGCGUCCUCCCGGGAAAAUGGAUUCUUCAAUAAACAAGAACGAGAUGAGGUUUCUGGUGAACACCUUCCCUAUGGAAUUGCCUCAUACCAAGACGAUUUCGUGUAGCCUUGAACAACAAAGCUUGUUCGUCUUCCUUUGAUUCAAUUCGCCUCUCCCAUAAAAUAUUUUCUUUAAACGUCGAUUAACACCCACCCAGUUGUCGUUGUAAGCAGUGAUAUCAGGAAGCGGUGUGGGGUUGAAGAAUCGAGGGAGAGCUGAUUGUCAUAAAAUCUGUAGAUAAGGCUUAGUUAGACACUUGUUGUGCAGCGCUCUGUUUCCAUGGCCGCCCUCAACUUCCUCCAUAAAUGCAAAACCAUCCUCAACUCCAACGCUUUACUCCCUUCUUACGUCUGCUUGUCCUCUUCUUCCUUCUCCCUCUUAUUUAUUGUUAUAGUUGAGUGGGAAGUAAGCAUUCUAGCUAAGAGUUAGGGUGUACAGAUGGUAAGUAACGGGUUAAAAUAGAUAAUAUCUGCUAGCAAUGGGUUUUGGCUGUUACAUAUGAUAACAGAGUCAGACAUCAGGUCAUGUACUAGUGAAGACACCGACCUCCAAAAGAGUGGAUGGUAAGAUCUCAUAUCGGUUGAAGAGAAAAAGAUAGCAUUUCAUAUAAAGGCGUGUAAAUCUCUAUCUAAAAAAUGUAUUUUAAAAUUGUAAGAUUGACCGCAAACGUAUGUUGGUAUGGUUUUAUUCAUGGCGGGGCGAAUGGAGUUCAAAAAAGGGAGUAAUGUCCCAUUCAAUUCAAACAUUCACAUGAAGGCACCGCCCCCAUUGUUGUCUUUUCUUUUUUGUAUUUAUUUAUUCCUAUUCAUAAUAAGAAUUCCCAUGUGCCCUCGUAUUUAAU